RNAcentral lists this long non-coding RNA (3931 nucleotides) under Sus scrofa (pig). RNAcentral describes it as "lncRNA (ENSSSCG00035009060.1)". The record is from RNAcentral. Lineage: Eukaryota; Metazoa; Chordata; Mammalia; Artiodactyla; Suidae.
AAGGCAGCAACUGGGAGUUCUCAUUGUGGCUCAGUGGACACAUGGAUGGCAUCCAUGAGGAUGUGGGUUCGAUCCCUGGCCUCCCUCAGUGGGUUAAGUAUCCAGCAUUGCUGUGAGCUGCGAUGUAGGCUGCAGACGCAGCUCAGAUCCCACAUUGCUGUGGCUGUGGUGUAGGCUGGCAGCUGCAAUUCGGAUUCGACCCCUAGCCUGGGAACUUCCAUAUGCCACAGUAGCUGCUUUGAAAGAAACAAAUCAGAUUUUUGAUUAAAAAAUAAUGAGAGGGCAGUCUACGGUAUUUAGGGUGGCUAAUAAAGGCCUCUCUGAAGUUUAAGCUGAGACCUGAAUGAGCAGCCAACCAAGAAAAACAGCCCCUUGGAGAGAAAAGGUGGAUCUAAGCGUAGGGAGCCUCAGUUUUAAAACAUUCUGGUGGUGUAUGUAGGAGCCACUGGGAGGCCGGUGUAGCCGGAAUGUAUGUCACAGGGAGAGUGGCCCAAGAUGAGGUUAGAGGUGGACCUUGUCACGCUGAGUCUAUAGGUCACGGUGGGGAACGUGGACCAUUCCAAGCAGGGAAGGGACAGGAUCUGUUCCAGGCAAGGAGCCCUGGGGGAUCCUCGGACCCUUGCUCUUGGCAGGGACCGAACAGUACGUGUUGGUUUGUUUUAAUGGCUAUUUGGUGGAGAAUGCAUUUGAGUGGACAAGAGACAUUUUAGGAGACCCUCGCCGUACUCCAAGCGGUGGUGGCUUGUGCCCUAGUAAUAGCCAUGGACGUGAAGAGAAGUCAAAGGAUGCGAAACAUACUUGAGGAGCGGAACUGAUAAGACUGCAAAUGAACUGAAUGUGCGUAAUGAGGAAAAGUGGAAGCCAGCCAAAUAUUAGACGACUGGCAUUGCCACUUACUGAGCUAGGGAAGGAUGAAGAGGGAACUGGUGAUGGCGGGCGAGGGCAUAUAGAGUUACUUUUGGGACAGUUUAAGUUUGAGAUGCUUCCGAACCAUGAGUCGGUUUCUGAGUCUGUCUAUCAAGGGAGAGGGCGGAGGCAGGAAUUCAGAGGAAGAGGUUGGCCCUGGUGGAACAGCUGAAACUCUAGCUGGGUAUUUAAGGAAGAGAAGAAUUUAGAGAAUUAGGGGAGGAAGAAGCCACUCAGGGUACUGAGAGCUAGAGGUUGAUCUAACUGGAACAACAAAUAAUAAGCUUAGCUGCUUAGAGAUUUCUUGUAGGAAAAUGUUGAAAAGAACAUGUUGGAGAAAUAAGUAGGAGCCAGAUUGAGAGGAAUUUAAAUUCAAGCUAAUGUGGUUCUUUGUUUUGCUUAAUUUUAGGGAGCCCUCAAGGGUAAGUGGGUAGAGACGUGGAGAGGUAGGUGUUGUGUGACUGCGGGGUGUCAUUAAAACGACGUGUCAGUUUUGGAGGCAGGGAAAACCUUCGGCUGAUGUGAUCUCUUGGGAUAUCACUGCGAUAAUUGUGGUGUGAACGGAUGAAAGUUUGGGCUGAGACGAGGACAGAAACAGGAAGGAAGAGAAGGAUAAGUAACAUGAAAAAUAGCUGGUGCCUGAGACAUCAAGGGGGGAGGAGAAACAGAGGAAAUGAUUGGGUUACCACUAUGGAUGGGUUUUUUUUUUUUUCCUUCCUUAACCAACCAGGACACAUUGGCAACAUCUCCAAGCAGCGCACAGACCUGUGCCUUGCACUAUACUUUUGUUUCCAUGUGGCUGGCAUGGAUCUACAAGGCAACAGUGGGAGACAUCAGACAGAGCUAGUGAUUGCUGGGCCAGAGAAGGUCCAGCAUAGAAAUAAGGAAUGCUGAAGGAUAAGAUUAAUAUCUGCAAAAUCUACACUCUGAGCAAAGAAAUAUGCACAAUGAAAUAUGUCAUGCACUUCCCUUCUCCCCCAUAGCAUAGCAAUUGCUAUUUUCCGGUUCAAUUUCACACGAGGCCUUUUCUUUCAUGGGAAGGGGACAGUUACCAAGAAGUAAAUUUUGCAAAAGUACACAAAAUAAACAAUGGAAAAAAUAUUGUCACCAGCAGACGCUAGCUGAAUGACAAGACAGAUUGUCAGUUUUACUUCUGAUUUUGACGUUCUUGUUUUUGUUAUAUUGUUCAAACAGUACCUGGCCUAGGGCAGUUCUUUCCCUUUUGUGUCCUGGUUUUACCAUCCACAAAAGGGAAUCACCUGAUCUAGGGAGGUGCCAGCGAGUUGUAUUUGAGUGUAUAUGUGUGCAUGCAGAAUAAUACAUAUUCUUAUAAGGAACUUAGAAAAUAUAGAAGAAUAAAAUAGACAGUAAAUACUGACAAAUGGGACUGAGCAAAACAAUAUUAAACAUAAUGCAUCCUUUCCAAAGCAUCAUAUUCCAACCAGCAAGGAAAGAUUUAAUGGUAGUAAUAAGUGACUUGCUCACACACUAUGACGGGUAGGAAGAGUGGCCCUCAUGAUUCAUUUUAAUAACAAAUGAAAAGAUAGGAUGGAUGCACACCACUGCCUUCCAUGGUGCCCACCUUCAUUCCACUGGUGACUGACAAAUUAUUCUGUAGCGCACCUAGGAAACAAUAUCAAACCCACUCCUAAUCAUUCAUCACGCGAUGGCUGUCCUGUCCGCGGGAACUCCAGUUAUAUUUAAUGCCCACUUGCCUUCAGUAAUUGCUGCUUCAUUCAGAGUGAAGUUAUCUAUUCUGGGUUUUGCAGAGACACCUGCAAUAAAAGCCUCCAGUUCUGGUCCUUCCAGAUUGUUAUGCGGGGGAUUCUGCCAUAAUGGAUCCUGCAAUAAAUGGGUGAAGAGCUGUCCUGGCUAAGGGGGCUGACAAGUUUAUUAUUAAACCGUAAUGAAGAGAUGUCGCAAAAAUCUCACGUGUACUUAAUGUCUGGUCUCGGGAGAGAGGAUCUCUGUAAAUUGCAGUUCCCCCUUGGCAUCGUCCGUGUUUUCUCUGGAUCCUGUAUCAACGAGCCCUCGUGGGGUCCCACAUUUCAGCAAAUCGCCCUGCUUCCCCCCACCUCUCUACACACUUUUUAUAUUCUCCAUAAAUAGCACCUGGUCCUGCAAUUCAUCUUCCACGCCUCAUUCAUUCUAAAUCUCAGCUUCUUGGCCCUGCUUCUGCCGUAUUAAAAUACUUCCCAAGGCAAGCUCAUGUUGAAAAAGAAAAUCAAUGGUUCUGAUUCAUCUGAUAUGAGCUUCUGGGUGUUUGGAUAAUUUAUUGUUCACUCUCAGGCAAUACCCCUGUGAUACCAUCAUUAAAUAUUAAAGGCGGUUUAAGGGCACUCUGCUUAUCAGGAAGCACUGCCCUGUUAACAUCAGGGAGAAUGAUGCUCUCCCUCCAGGGAGAAUGCCUGAAAUUUUUUAAACGCCAAGCCUGAAAACCUCGGUGUGCUACUUUGACAGGGUGGUGAAGAGACUGAGUCAGGGAGGUCAACCAGAAGGUCAUUGUCCAUUCUACUUCCUGACGCUGCAAAACGGCCUCGUGAGCAGGCGUAGGCCUUUAAAUGACAUGGAGAUCUAGGCCUCCAGGGUACCAGGAGCUGGGAGAAUCUGUCCAUGAAAACUGUCCAUGCACCGAUAUAUACAGGAACCCACCUUCUGGAAAGUUCCGGCAUAUGCAGGGCUGGUCCUGAAGCUUCACUGGCUACCACAAGCCUUGCUAUUAGCAUGGGCCUGUGGAGAUACUCAGAUCUAAAUCUCAUAUUAAAUAUCGGAAGAGAAAGAAAACCAGAGAACUUGGGUACUUCCUAGGUGUAAAGAGAGACUAUUUCAGCGGUCAGGUUGCGGAGUUCAUCGUGAAUUUAAGCAGCUGACUCUUUACUAAAACAUGCUGGUGCUUAUCGAGUUCUUUGAUUUUUAUCUGCCUCUAUCACCAUUUCUAUCUUUGCUUCGUAAUGGAACAUUCUUUAAGUAAAUCUCUUGAAGGCGCUGACGUCAAAAGUUGAUGAAGUUGAUAUGGCACAGAGAA